UGACCCUCUAGAGAUAGAGCCUUCCCCUUCGGGGGACAAAGUGACAGGUGGUGCAUGGUUGUCGUCAGCUCGUGUCGUGAGAUGUUGGGUUAAGUCCCGCAACGAGCGCAACCCUUAAGCUUAGUUGCCAUCAUUAAGUUGGGCACUCUAGGUUGACUGCCGGUGACAAACCGGAGGAAGGUGGGGAUGACGUCAAAUCAUCAUGCCCCUUAUGAUUUGGGCUACACACGUGCUACAAUGGACAAUACAAAGGGCAGCUAAACCGCGAGGUCAUGCAAAUCCCAUAAAGUUGUUCUCAGUUCGGAUUGUAGUCUGCAACUCGACUACAUGAAGCUGGAAUCGCUAGUAAUCGUAGAUCAGCAUGCUACGGUGAAUACGUUCCCGGGUCUUGUACACACCGAAA
This 403-nucleotide ribosomal RNA is filed under the name uncultured Staphylococcus sp. Its description in RNAcentral is "bacterial SSU rRNA". It matches the Rfam family "Bacterial small subunit ribosomal RNA", at positions 992 to 1395 of the family's 1533-position model. Lineage: Bacteria; Bacillati; Bacillota; Bacilli; Caryophanales; Staphylococcaceae. The record is from RNAcentral.